Molecule: long non-coding RNA, 401 nt
Filed under: Lathyrus oleraceus (garden pea)
Lineage: Eukaryota; Viridiplantae; Streptophyta; Magnoliopsida; Fabales; Fabaceae
Description: Pisum sativum (pea) long non-coding RNA (PSAT_LNC009584)
Source: RNAcentral
CGCCCUAAUCAUGCAAUCCUCCGUCCCAGACACAAAUCUCUCCGGCCAUAUCCCUCCUUCCGUCGGUGACCUCCCUUAUCUCCAGAAUCUCGAAUUCCACAAACUUCCUAGACUCACAGGCCCAAUCCAACCCACCAUAGCCAAGCUCAAAAACCUCAAAUAUCUUUUCAUCGAAUACACCAAUGUCUCAGGCUCCAUACCCUCUUUCUUGUCUCAACUCAAAAACCUCCAGCUUCUUCAUCUUUCCACCAACAAUCUCACCGGCUCUAUCCCCAGUUCACUCUCCCAGUUACCUAACCUAGAGUCCUUACACUUAGACAGAAACAAGCUCACAGGCCCAAUUCCAGAAUCGUUCGGUUCAUUCAAAAAGCCCGGGCCGGAUAUCAUCCUAUCUCACAACC